AUGACCUCCUGCAGAGAUGCUCGCCGCCUGUGCAGGGCCGUCUGUGCUGAGCUCGUGUCCUCCAGUCGUUGGUUGUCACCUGGUGAACGUGACGCUGCGUCAAUGACCUCCUGCAGAGAUGCUCGCCGCCUGUGCAGGGCCGUCUGUGCUGAGCUCGUGUCCUCCAGUCGUUGGUUGUCACCUGGUGAACGUGACGCUGCGUCAAUGACCUCCUGCAGAGAUGCUCGCCGCCUGUGCAGGUGUGUGUAAUGCUUGUAUUCUGUGGAUCACCUACACGUCCAGUCCUGCUGCCGUCGCUGUGAUGACGCUUUUUCCUGCCAUUCGUAGUUUCCUCCAGAGGUCUGCCGACCGGUGAUGGCCCAAUCCUUCCUUGGAUGUCUGAGCGAAUUGUGUUGUCGUUGUGACGUCCGCUCAGUUUUAUGUUCGCUGACGUGUCUUUGUCCUGCAGGUCGACUGUAAACCAGGAGCUGCUCCGAGGACCCAGAAGAUUUCUCCACGUUUCUCUUCUCAAAGAAAUAAAAAAUGAAACUGAACUCGUUGAAUUGUUUGUUGUGAUUGUGCAGCAUUAGAUGAACUCGUG
Molecule: long non-coding RNA, 580 nt
Filed under: Cottoperca gobio
Lineage: Eukaryota; Metazoa; Chordata; Actinopteri; Perciformes; Bovichtidae
Description: lncRNA (ENSCGOG00000014748.1)
Rfam family: Small nucleolar RNA SNORD14 (bases 294-386)
Source: RNAcentral